This is a long non-coding RNA of Lucilia cuprina (Australian sheep blowfly), 821 nucleotides long. RefSeq lists it as uncharacterized. The transcript is spliced from 2 exons. The record is from RefSeq and is a predicted model, not a curated record. Lineage: Eukaryota; Metazoa; Arthropoda; Insecta; Diptera; Calliphoridae.
AAGUUAAGGUCAAAGGGUUAUCAUGAAAAUUGUAUGUAUGUAAUAUGAUCAAGAUAGUUAUAGGAAAUUGGUCCAGAUAGAACAUUAUACCAAGAAUUGAAAAAAAAGUAACAAAAAGAAGAAAAUAAUAAAAAAUGAACUUUUACAAAAUCAAUAAAUGGGAGUACAGACAAUGUGUUGAAAAAAAAAAAAGAUAAACCUAAAGGGCAAGUUGUUAGGAAAGGGGUACGAGUGAGUGACACUUUUUUUUUUUUUUGCAAAAAGCCAAGGAGUACUAGUGACACUCAUAUAGUAGAAGAAACAACUACAACAAAGAAGAUGCACAAGAAUGCAUUUGUCAAGAUGGAAAGAAACGAAUGCAAUUUUAAAACAAAUUGAUAGUAAUAAUAAAACAGCUGCUGUUGCUAAAAAGGUAGAGAUAUCAAAAAAAAGGAGAAACAUGAAAGAAAAAAAAACAAAAACUGAACAUAAACCAAAGUGCGAAAGAAAGAUAAAACUAGUCGCAUUUUAGCAAGCGUUCAUAUAACAGCCGCCAUAUUGCGUGUUGUCAUCAAAACAACAGCAGCAGCAGUGUGAACGAAUGUGUGUGAUAAAAAAAAGAGAAAAAAAUUUACAUUUUUUGGAAAAUGUUCAAAAUUAAAAAAGUUGUUCUUUUAAAGAAAUGGAAAAUUGUGUAAAAUGUAUGUUUUCUUUAAGAUAAAACUAAUUUCAGCUGGAAAAAAAUACGUUGGUCAAAAAAAAUUAUGAUGUAAUCGAAGAAAUGCCCCACCAGACAUGAAAAGAAUAAAAUGUCAAAAUUCUUUUACACAUACACACACACA